GGAAAUUAAUGUAUCGUAAUAACAUCUAGUUGGCCCAACAGAGGAGUCAAUGUAUAACACAACUUUUUAUUUCACCUCUGUGCUUGUUCAAUAUUCUUUCUUGUUACGAUUCGUAACGUUUGUUCACAUGUGUUUAAUGUAGUAUAUGGAUUGUUGAUUCUAGGUUUUAUCUGCCCGCGUCGUUGCGCGCGGUAGUUGCUAGAUCAAGUGUCAUUAUCGACACUUUCAUCUUCUUACUAUGGUAUUGUGUAAUCAGUUUACGAUAUUCUUCUGUACUUUUAACAUGAAAUGACUUCUAACAGGGAGAAAGGACGGAUUUCCAUCCAGGACCCGAGGACUAAUUUUCUACGUUAAUCUUUUACUCAUAUAUAAAAGAAACGUCUAAGUUAUAGUAGUGAAUGAAUGCUUCGGAAAAUAGGGUUUGUUCAACCCCAUCCGAUCUAUACUUUGGGAAAGUGCUCCUGAAGGGUCCUCCAGUGGGUAGGAUCAUGAUGAGAGCGGGUUUACCCAAUGUAUGGGUUUUCUGACCGAUCAAAAAUGCAACCGAGCGGUUCGGAUAGUGUUGGGAAUCUAUACUUUGGGAAAGUGCUCCUGAAGGAUCCUCCAGUGGGUAGGAUCAUGAUAAGAGCGAGUUUACCCAAAGUAUGGAUACCCUGACCGAUCAAAAAUGCAACCGAGCGGUUCGGAUAGUGUUGGGAGGAGGAAAUGGGCCCGAACCCUGGCCGAUACGGAUCUUCUGUAUCCGCCUCAACGUCUAAGUUAUAGUAGUAGCUACCAUAUAAUUUAAUCUGAUAUAGCUUGUGUGUUUAUUUCGUAGGUACGUUAGAUAAAAUAUUAUAACUAACACAAAGACCACUUGGUUGCUAGAGUUAAAGAUC
RNAcentral lists this ribosomal RNA (878 nucleotides) under Triticum aestivum (bread wheat). Its description in RNAcentral is "partial small subunit ribosomal RNA". The record is from RNAcentral. Lineage: Eukaryota; Viridiplantae; Streptophyta; Magnoliopsida; Poales; Poaceae.